ACAGAGGAGUAGAUGGUUGAUUAUCUGUGCAGAGGGCAAAGAACAUAUUGGCAGUGGUGUGUGAGCAGGGAGGAGACGAGAGCCAAGCAGGGACGAGCUGCUCUUGUGGCCUUGUGGGUGUGCGUCCUACGCUCAGGAGAGAUGACACCGACGUCAGAUGGAUCGAGAGAUGUUGUGUCCAUCCGUCUGAAGUUGGUGUCAUCUCGCCUGAGCAUAGGACUCAUCAGCCCAGAUUAGUGAACAUAGGACACCUCGACGAGUCGUCCACCUUGUUGUUUUGCAUGCUUUCUUUUUCUUGAGUCGCUCUGGCGUGCGAUUUACAAGGUAACUCACCGGCUUCUUCAGAUUGUCCGUUCGUUUUGUUCUGUGUCUUCCUUGCAGGUGCGCAGAAGGUGGGGGUACUGACAUGGCAUGCGAGUCAGGAUGAUAUUGGAGCAGUAUGUCGUACAAGAACAUGCACAGGAUCUUGUUUCGAUGGAAGGUUUCAGUUGCAGGAAAAGCAGCCAUGCAAUUCUCAGCGAAGCAACAAUGCUAACCUGGCUGGAGCUUUCUCCAGGGAGAAAGGGAGCUUUCUCCAGGGAGAAAGAGAGCUUUCUGCAUCUGACCACUCUUUGCUGAUUGCAAGAAAGUUGUUGGUUUUUUUGGAUGGAACUGUCUGCCUACCCUCUCCAAAACGGGCACCUGACUAGCUGUGGCUUUGGCUUGAACGGACUGAAAACUGUUCGGUUACAGUCUGCUCUGUGGUGAAACAAUUUGUUCUCUGUAUUUUCUUUUCCUUUGAUCCGUGUAGACUGCUGUAAAAAUAAUAUUCUGCAUGAAACAGCAACGCUGAACUCUUUGGAUUAAUUUA
This is a long non-coding RNA of Phragmites australis (common reed), 850 nucleotides long. RefSeq lists it as uncharacterized. The transcript is spliced from 2 exons. NCBI's taxonomy places the organism in Eukaryota, Viridiplantae, Streptophyta, Magnoliopsida, Poales, Poaceae. The record is from RefSeq and is a predicted model, not a curated record.